GAUGAAGAACGUAGCGAAAUGCGAUAAGUAAUGCGAAUUGCAGAAUUUCCGUGAGUCAUCGAAUCUUUGAACGCACAUUGCGCCCACUGGUAUUCUGGCGGGCAUGCCUGUUCGAGCGUCAUUACGCCCCUCAAGUCCCCUGUGGACUUGGUGUUGGGGAUCGGCGAGGCUGGUUUUCCAGCACAGCCGUCCCUUAAAUUAAUUGGCGGUCUCGCCGUGGCCCUCCUCUGCGCAGUAGUAAAACACUCGCAACAGGAGCCCGGCGCGGUCCACUGCCGUAAAACCCCCCAACUUUUUAUAGUUGACCUCGAAUCAGGUAGGACUACCCGCUGAACUUAAGCAUAUCAAUAAGCGGAGGA
RNAcentral lists this unclassified non-coding RNA (359 nucleotides) under soil metagenome. RNAcentral's name for it is "partial contains 5.8S ribosomal RNA, internal transcribed spacer 2, and large subunit ribosomal RNA". The stretch from base 1 to 121 matches the Rfam family "5.8S ribosomal RNA", at positions 35 to 154 of the family's 154-position model. The record is from RNAcentral.